AACGAACGCUGGCGGCAGGCCUAAAACAUGCAAGUCGAACGAACCUUCGGGUUAGUGGCGCACGGGUGAGUAACGCGUGGGAAUGUGCCUCUGGGUGCGGAACAACGUCGGGAAACUGACGCUAAUACCGCAUAAUGUCUUCGGACCAAAGAUUUAUCGCCCAGAGAUCAGCCCGCGUUAGAUUAGGUAGUUGGUGGGGUAAUGGCCUACCAAGCCUACGAUCUAUAGCUGGUCUGAGAGGAUGAUCAGCCACACUGGAACUGAGACACGGUCCAGACUUCUACGGGAGGCAGCAGUUAGGAAUAUUGGACAAUGGGCGCAAGCCUGAUCCAGCCAUGCCGCGUGUGUGACGAAGGCCUUAGGGUUGUAAAGCACUUUCGUCCGCGAAGAUAAUGACAGUAACGGAAGAAGAAGCUCCGGCUAAAUUCGUGCCAGCCGCCGCUGUAA
RNAcentral lists this ribosomal RNA (447 nucleotides) under uncultured bacterium. RNAcentral's name for it is "partial 16S ribosomal RNA". It matches the Rfam family "Bacterial small subunit ribosomal RNA", at positions 29 to 523 of the family's 1533-position model. The record is from RNAcentral.